GUGGGGAAUCUUGCGCAAUGGGCGAAAGCCUGACGCAGCCAUGCCGCGUGAAUGAUGAAGGUCUUAGGAUUGUAAAAUUCUUUCACCGGGGACGAUAAUGACGGUACCCGGAGAAGAAGCUCCGGCUAACUUCGUGCCAGCAGCCGCGGUAAUACGAAGGGGGCUAGCGUUGCUCGGAAUUACUGGGCGUAAAGGGCGCGUAGGCGGACAGCUUAGUCAGAGGUGAAAGCCCAGGGCUCAACCUUGGAAUUGCCUUUGAUACUGGCUGUCUUGAGUUUGGGAGAGGUGAGUGGAACUCCGAGUGUAUAGGUGAAAUUCGUAGAUAUUCGGAAGAACACCAGUGGCGAAGGCGACUCACUGGCUCAAUACUGACGCUGAGGCGCGAAAGCGUGGGGAGCAAACAGGAUUAGAUGCCCUGGUAGUCC
RNAcentral lists this ribosomal RNA (425 nucleotides) under uncultured bacterium. Its description in RNAcentral is "partial 16S ribosomal RNA". It matches the Rfam family "Bacterial small subunit ribosomal RNA", at positions 354 to 796 of the family's 1533-position model. The record is from RNAcentral.